AACUAAUCCCGUAGAGCUUAGGAGGGCCAGCUUCAGGUGACCAUGUGGCUACUGUUGACAAAAAUGUCCCCCUUGAGGGAGAAGGAAGGAGGAAGCACUGGCGACUGAAAUGGAGCAAAUUAUAUCCCAUGCAUGUAUGAUUAUGUCAAAAUGAACCCCAUGGUUGUGUAGAACUAUAAGGCAGUGAUAAAAACAUUUUUUUAAAAAAUGUCAUCCUUGAGAUAUUUCAAGACUUUCAUGACCCAGGUGCUACCUGGGCCCCAGGUAUAGUGAAAACAACACCCAACACCUGGUAUUAGGUGCUUUGCAACACAAUCUUUGGGCAAAACACAGCUAAUUAUUUAGACUUAAAAUGAAUCGUUUGAUUUUUAUCCUUCCUCCCAAAUAUGUCUUUCUGGCCCCAAUUACAACAACUCCCUUUUAGGGCUUCCCCCUGCACUCAGCACUUCCUGAAACCUGUCAACCUUUUUAAAAUACAGAUUUCUCUACACCCCGUGCCUUCUACCUGCCUGGAAUAAUCUACCCUGCACUGAUACAUCUUCAAAAUGUUUUUCCUAAACCCCAGAGCUGGAUUUAAUCAUUCCUCCUGUGACCAACUUGUUGAUACAAAUCAACUUUAAUUAUUCUAGUAAUCACU
RNAcentral lists this long non-coding RNA (637 nucleotides) under Marmota monax (woodchuck). The record is from RNAcentral. Lineage: Eukaryota; Metazoa; Chordata; Mammalia; Rodentia; Sciuridae.